Molecule: ribosomal RNA, 253 nt
Filed under: uncultured bacterium
Lineage: Bacteria
Description: partial 16S ribosomal RNA
Rfam family: Bacterial small subunit ribosomal RNA
Source: RNAcentral
UACGGAGGGUGCAAGCGUUAUCCGGAUUCACUGGGUUUAAAGGGUGCGUAGGUGGGUCUGUAAGUCAGUGGUGAAAUCUUCGGGCUUAACCCGGAAACUGCCAUUGAUACUAUUUAUCUUGAAUACUCUGGAGGUAAGCGGAAUAUGUCAUGUAGCGGUGAAAUGCUUAGAUAUGACAUAGAACACCAAUUGCGAAGGCAGCUUACUACAUAGUUAUUGACACUGAGGCACGAAAGCGUGGGGAUCAAACAGG